Molecule: transfer RNA, 50 nt
Filed under: Erythrobacter sp.
Lineage: Bacteria; Pseudomonadati; Pseudomonadota; Alphaproteobacteria; Sphingomonadales; Erythrobacteraceae
Description: tRNA-Ser
Rfam family: tRNA
About the family: Transfer RNA (tRNA) molecules are approximately 80 nucleotides in length. Their secondary structure includes four short double-helical elements and three loops (D, anti-codon, and T loops). Further hydrogen bonds mediate the characteristic L-shaped molecular structure. tRNAs have two regions of fundamental functional importance: the anti-codon, which is responsible for specific mRNA codon recognition, and the 3' end, to which the tRNAs corresponding amino acid is attached (by aminoacyl-tRNA synthetases). tRNAs cope with the degeneracy of the genetic code in two manners: having more than one tRNA (with a specific anti-codon) for a particular amino acid; and 'wobble' base-pairing, i.e. permitting non-standard base-pairing at the 3rd anti-codon position.
Source: RNAcentral
GUUGAUUUGUAAUCAUCAGGCCGGGGGUUCGAAUCCUCCAGCCGGCACCA